Molecule: microRNA, 24 nt
Filed under: Solanum tuberosum (potato)
Lineage: Eukaryota; Viridiplantae; Streptophyta; Magnoliopsida; Solanales; Solanaceae
Description: stu-miR7990b
Source: miRBase by way of RNAcentral
GAAUUUUCAAAUGAUCGUAACUUU